Equus asinus (donkey) is the source of this 5872-nucleotide long non-coding RNA. The record is from Ensembl. Lineage: Eukaryota; Metazoa; Chordata; Mammalia; Perissodactyla; Equidae.
CUCCCCACCAUCCAUGAUCUAGACCAGCUGAUUUCUCUCUUCCCAUCACUGCAGGCCCACACCUUUCCCAGGGCAUCCACUCUGACAUGGAAUACUUCACUUCAUUAUCCUUAAGUGGUAUGCUUGUGUGUACGUGAGAAAGAUACCUAUUUAAUUAGACUCUAAGCUCUUGUGAGAGCUGUAUCUUAUCUCACAGUUGCUCUCUGACCCCAGCUCUUAGACUAACCCCUUACCAGGCAGAGGAUUUACAGAUAGUUUCUCCCAUUCUAUAGGUUGCCUUCUCACUUUGCUGAUCGUUUCUUUUCUUGUGCAGAAGCUUUUCAGUUUGAUGUCUUCCUACUUGUUGAUUGUUGAUUUUAUAGCUUAUGCUCAUGUUAAGCUGGAAGGUAGAACUUACCAGAGUCAAUUCCGGAUCCUAUCAGGAAGAAUAAUUACACAGUGCCCAAAUGUCUGGAGGCACACCAGUCAGAACAGGCUGUGUUGUGCUUCAAUAACAAACAACUCCUGGGAUCUUAGUCCCUUAAAACAACCCAUGUUUUGUGAGUUUUUUGGCUCACAUUUCAUGUCUUUCAUGGGAAUUCAGCCUUCUUUCCCAACUCUCCAUGCUCUGUGAGGAGCAGUGGGGAUCAUGACAUUCUGUGAGCCAAGCCGUGGGGGAGCUGUGGCUGAGCUCCCAUAAUGAGAUGGUCCGGCUCCCGAGCCUGUCCCAUGUGGGCAGCACCGGGGCAUCUGGAGUCUGGGUGCAGAGGGUGAGGGUCCCAGUCCUGUCACGGUGGAGCUCUGGAAGUCACGGAGGUUUACAGGAGGGGCUUUCACUUCCCCAGGAACCUGAGUCCUGGACACAAUCUCUGCCAGGGACGCGUCACGCUGCUCCGGAUCCAAGCUGCAGACCUGGACUCCGGCCAGUGCCAAGCAUCAGGAAUUUGGAGACAGUGGAAACACAAUGGAUUUUCACCCAGAACUUAGCACUUCCCCCUUUUCUGACCCCCUGUGCGCACCACGUGGAGGGGAGGGAGGGAGGGAGCUUGGCUCAGAGCAGCCUCACAGCAAACAUCCCUGACACAGCCUCCUCGGCCCAUCCUGGGUGAGAGUCCCCUCUCACCUGGCACAAGACACCAGUUCCCAGGGACAGCGUCCGCCGGCACCCACCUGGCAGGUUAUCCACGGGUGUGCGUCCUGGGGGUGGUGACUUGAGUUACCUGCGUGAGCUGCCUGCGCCUUACCCGUCUGUUCCCAUUUGAAUGGCCUGUGGGCGGGACUUAUGGGACGCCAAGUGUGUUACCUACACGUGCACUGCUGUGUCACCUGUGUGUCAUACGUGUGCUGUUUCCUUGGGUUCUGUGUGCUUGUGUGUGUUCCCAGUGAGUGUAUCACCUGAGUGCCUCCCACGCAUUCUAUCCUGACGUCAUCUCUGCCUAUGCGACCUGUGUGCUACAUGGAUGCUUCUGUGUUACAUCUGUGUCACCUCAAUGUGUGUGUUGGUGAUUCUUUGUGUUCCCACAUGAAUCUCAUGUGCUCUCCUUGUGUGUCACCUGUGUGUGCGUGCUGCUGGUGUGUGAACACUGUCACACCCUCCAUGUGACGCCCACACGACCUUUCGGCAGGUGACUCACAUUUUGGUCUGUGUGGCGCUGCCUGUGUGACAUCUGUGUCACACGUGUGCGUGCUGCUGGUGUGGCUCGUUCUGUGCACCGCCUCCAUACUGCGUGUGCCACCUCAGCAUGACCUGUGCCUGCCGCUCCUGUGUGAACACUGUCAUACACUCCGUGUGACGCUCAUGUGAGCUGUGACGGGUGACUCGUGUUUGGUCUGUGUGGUGCUGCCCGUGUGUGACAUCUGUGUCACCUGUGUUCAUGCCACCUGGGCGUCCCCGGGGGCGACACUUACCGUGUCACGCGUCUUGCUGACCGGAUCCACUUCCUGCGGCGUCGGGUGGUCCUCCCACCAGCUCCCCGGGACUGUCCGGGAGCGGCCCCGUCACACGCUGCCGCCGUGGGCCGAGGGCAGAGAGGUGGGCCGGCGGAGACUCGGACACGCCGGCCUCGGGCCGUCCUGGGUCGCGGGGACCGCAGGAGCCGCCGCGACGUCCGUACCCACCGCCCGCCUCACCGCCCUGCCCUGUCUUCUGGGGCCGGGCCUCGGCGGGGCUGCUCUCGAGGCCAAGCCGCCCUCCGACCAGGCGUAGCUCGCGGCGACGACAGGCCCUCGGCCGCCCACCGGCUGAGAGACGGCUGCGUCCGCUCCGCGGGCCGGGGCAGCGGUGGGCAGGCCCCUCGGGACCCCAGAUCCAGGGCUCCACGACGUCACGGACUCUGGUUUGCACCUCGGCCGUCUGGCUUCAUGAACGGGACCCCAUCUCUCUCAUCUGACACCUCUAGGCCCCUCGACGGCGACAAGAUGGUGGCGGAGCGCCGUCCUCACCUCCUCUCACGGCCAAGGCUUUCCUGUUAGCCUGGCUGCUCCUGACACUCACUCUGAUUGGACAGGCGGAGGUCAUAUGACGUCCCUGAACCAAUCCCGGCAGUCAGGACACAGCCAGUGGAUAGUGUAAGAACCUUUCCUGUUGGCUGGCAGGCAAGUCCAGACCUUCACUCUGAUUGGACACACCCAGGUCAUGUGACAUCCCUGAACCAAUCACUGCAGCCAGGGCCCACCUUCGCUUGAACUGACGAGAUCACAGCGCCCCCUGGAGCCAAGGGAGCCCAUCCAGGAUCACUGGUCUGGGUGGGAUGGGGGGAUGGCGGAUUCCUGAUGAAAGCUGGGGGCUCCUGGAAGAAGAGGGGGAUGCUGGAGGCCACUCCCGGUGUCCUACAGGGAGUCUAGGUCACUGUCCCGAGGCCCCGGCUGCCCCAAACAGAGACCCUGACGGGAGGAGAGGCGGGGACGUGGCCUGUGGCCUUUCCUCCUGACUUCCGGUCCUGGACCUGCGGCUUCCAGACCCGCCGACCUCAGCCAGAGCAUGAGACCCACGGGACUGAGGCCACCCGGACAGUCCUGGACAGAGCUGGAGACCCGCGGACUAAGGCCACCCGGACUGUCCCGGGCAGAGCUUGGCCAUCCCGCCCCUUGUCCCGUGGAUUCCCACCAGUCUCCCCACAGCCCAGCCACGGGCCAGCGCCUCUCCGGGUCCACCGUGACGUCCUCCUCAAGGUGGUGCUUUCGUAGUUGGAAGCCUGAGGCCUGAGUGUCUCCGCGUGAAGAUGCGGGGUUUGUGCGUUGAUUGAAGAUAAAACAUACUGAGCUCCAGAACGUCUGGAGGCUCUGAGGGAAUUUGAAAUUUUAACCUGCUCUGUGAACUCCGAAGCUGGUGAGUCAUCCACAGACUUCGUGAGGUGUCAGACAGCCUGUGCUUCUCCACUCGAUCUGGAAACCAGGGAUGCUGCCUAAUGACACGCAAAGCUCUGGAAUCAGAAGGAGAGACUGGCGGGACGUCUCCCAGAAGGAAGGCCUGAGAUGGGGUCACAACCGCCUCACGGUCCUGGGUCCAGAGGAGGCGAGCGCACUCCCGUGGUGACAGGUCCGUCCUGUCACCCCCCUCGACCCCACGACCCUGCGGUCCCCCCUCGGUGCUGCUGGGGAGAAUCCACACCAGCAGCGGAGAAGCAGGAACCCAAGGCACAGGCUGAGCCCUGCGGGGCACUGAGACCUCCGCACCUCCAGAAACGUCGGAGGCUGGGCCUUCCCCCAGCUCCCCUUUACCUGCAAGGCGGUCCUCCCCUGAGACCCCUGGGGAGCCCUCCCAGACCCUGUCUGCCCCUGAGGCCCCCUCCUCUGGGCCUCACAGUGCAGGGCGAGCCCGGGUCUUGGAGUUGGUCUCACCGCCUGGGACGAUGGGGUUGCUGACUCGAGGCGGCCCGAGGCACUUCUGACUUCCUUGUCCAGCUCCUCCGCACCCCCCUCCCAGUGGCGUGGUGACUGGCCGCAGCAGCCUGCGUCCUGGAGCCCGUGCCGAGCGGAGCACCGCUGUCAGUCCAGGAGGGACGUGAGGCGCGGGACAGGAGUCGGGACAGCAGGCGAAGGUGCCUUCACGACCGCGCUGAGCUCGCCUCCUGCACAGGUUCAGCUGCCGCCCUGUGAUCCUGCGUUCCCGGGCUCAGAGCCGGAGCCCACGUUUCCUUGAACUUCCUCUUCUGCCAAGGUUGGGGCUUCUUUCUUAUUUGCAUCUGGCACAUCUCUUUAAUGGUUCUGAUGUGUUUACUCUUCACAUCAUUUCCAAUCUUAGGGAUCAUAACGCUUAUUUAUGUAUUUAUUUGUGCCUUAGUGUCUUCUCUUCAUCUCAGAGAUGUGGAAUUUCCUUCUAGCUUCGUCGUCCAUUUCUCUCUCCCCUGGGCUCUCAGGGGCAUUUCUUCUGUGGUUUUCCAAAACUAAUGAACGUAGCUAGAGCGUUUCUGCAGAGUGUUCUCACCUCUGAGUGGAGAGUUCACCAUCUCUAAACAGGGGAUCUGAGGCUCAGAGAGUGUGCUGCUCAACACGGUAGACCUGCGCUCAGGUCAGUAGACUGGGCGGGGGGCACAUGGCUGCUUGAUUCAGUAAAUGCUCAGAAACAUAAAUUUUAAAACAUCUGUUAGCACUGUAUAAAUUUAAGAAAGGACACAUAUUUAGAGGUAUACGUGGUAGAAAUAAAUUGAGAAAAGAUUAAAUAAACGAAUAUUCAGAAUCACUUGUGGACUUUACACAGAACCGCUCCAUGUCUCCUGCUGCUCUGUGCCCAGGUUUAUAAAUUAACACAAGUGCUUUCCAUUGAUCACAGGGAUGGUGCACACUCCCCACCUGGAGUGAUCACAAGGAAACUUGCCCUUCAGACCCUGGGGAACAGGCCUCGGGUCGAUGUGGGGAAAUAACACACUGGUGAGAGCUUGCUGUGUGUCAGGAGCACCAGGUGCUCACCCCGGGAUCUCUGGCCUCAGCCCAGCCUAUGUGACAGGAAGAACAUCCUCCAUCUGUAUGAGGAAACUGAGACCCAGCAUUGGCCAUGGUCUUGCAUUUAAUGGGGACAUAGGACAGGACUGUACUGACACAUAUCACAAGGACACUGUGAUCAGUGUGGCACACACAGACUUGGAGAAGGGGGAGAUGGGGAGGGGCCUCCACCAUGGGGGAGAUGAGGAUGGUGUUCAAGGGUGUGAUUCCUCCAUGGUGUUCAAUGGGUGUGAUUCAUUCCAUGGAGAAAUUGGAACCCUCAUAAGUUGCUGGUGGGCAUGUAAAAUGAUUCGGCUGCUGUGGAAAACAGUUUGGCGAUUCUUCAAACAGUGAAACAUAGAAUUAUCCUAUGAUCCAGCAAUUCCAGUCACAGGUAUACGCCCAAAAGAAUUGAAACAGGUACUCAAGCAAAUCCUUGAACCUGAAUGUUCACAGCAGCAACAUGAUCACAUAGCCAAAAGGUAGGAACAGCACAAAUGUCCAUCAAAGAAAGAAUGGAUAAGCAAAUGGUGGGAUAUGCAAACAAUGCAGUAUAAUUCAGCCUGAAAAAGUAAUGAAGCACUGAUACAUGCUACACUGAGGAUGAACUUUCAAAACCUGUGCUACCUGAAAGAAUCCAGAUGUGAAAGUCACAUAUCCUGUAUUCCUUUUGUAUGAAAUGUCCAGAAUAGGUGAAUCCAUAGAGACAGAAUGCAGGUUGGUGUUUGCCAGGUGGAGGUGGGGAGGAAUGGUGAGAAACUGCCUGAUGGGUAGGUUUAUUUUGGAGUGAUUAAAAUGUUUUGGGACUAGAUAGAGAUGGUGGUUGAACGAUGUACUAAAUGCCAUUGAAUUAUUCAGUUUAAAAUAGUUAACUUUAUGUUAUGUGAAUAUCACUUCAAAAAAUAUUAAAUGGUUGUGUAUAAAAUCCUGACUUCCAGGUUUUCUUGAACAGUCAGGACUCUGGUAACCUUGG